This is a small nuclear RNA of Arabidopsis thaliana (thale cress), 137 nucleotides long. NCBI's taxonomy places the organism in Eukaryota, Viridiplantae, Streptophyta, Magnoliopsida, Brassicales, Brassicaceae. The record is from RefSeq.
UUUGAUGUUCCUUCAGUCAUCCCCUAAAUCGAACGAUAUUUUCUACUAUGCCGUGUUUUGGUUUCUCAGAAUAUCAUCAAGUAUUUUUGUACGAGCUAUUUUUUUUUUUGUUUCUCUCUUCGGCACUAACCUAAGUG